GUCCCUUCCAGGACAUCCGAUAAAAUUGAAACGAUACAAAGAAGAUUAGCAUGACCCAUGCGCAAGGAUGACACACACAAAUUGAGAAAUGGUCCGAAAGAGAAAUUU
Small nuclear RNA from Lolium perenne, 108 nucleotides. NCBI's taxonomy places the organism in Eukaryota, Viridiplantae, Streptophyta, Magnoliopsida, Poales, Poaceae. The record is from RefSeq and is a predicted model, not a curated record.